This 497-nucleotide ribosomal RNA is filed under the name uncultured bacterium. RNAcentral describes it as "partial 16S ribosomal RNA". It matches the Rfam family "Bacterial small subunit ribosomal RNA", at positions 28 to 507 of the family's 1533-position model. The record is from RNAcentral.
GAUGAACGCUGGCGGCGUGCCUAAUACAUGCAAGUCGAGCGAACAGACGAGGAGCUUGCUCCUCUGACGUUAGCGGCGGACGGGUGAGUAACACGUGGAUAACCUACCUAUAAGACUGGGAUAACUUCGGGAAACCGGAGCUAAUACCGGAUAAUAUAUUGAACCGCAUGGGUCAAUAGUGAAAGACGGUUUUGCUGUCACUUAUAGAUGGAUCCGCGCCGCAUUAGCUAGUUGGUAAGGUAACGGCUUACCAAGGGAACGAUGCGUAGCCGACCUGAGAGGGUGGUCGGCCACCCUGGAACUGAGACACGGUCCAGACUCCUACGGGAGGCAGCAGUAGGGAAUCUUCCGCAAUGGGCGAAAGCCUGACGGAGCGACGCCGCGUGAGUGAUGAAGGUCUUCGGAUCGUAAAACUCUGUUAUUAGGGAAGAACAAAUGUGUAAGUAACUAUGCACGUCUUGACGGUACCUAAUCAGAAAGCCACGGCUAACUACGUG